GAUUAACGCUGGCGGCGUGCCUAACACAUGCAAGUCGAACGAUGAAACUCAUUAGAUUUCUUCGGAAUGAAGAUGAAUGGAUUAGUGGCGAACGGGUGAGUAACGCGUGAGUAACCUGCCUUACACAAGGGGAUAGCCUCUGGAAACGGAGAAUAAUACCCUAUGAAACCAGACAAUCGCAUGAUAAUCUGGUCAAAAUGUUUAGUGGUGUAAGAUGGACUUGCGUCUGAUUAGCUAGUUGGUGAGAUAAAAGCUCACCAAGGCAACGAUCAGUAGCCGGCUUGAGAGAGUGUACGGCCACAUUGGGACUGAGACACGGCCCAGACUCCUACGGGAGGCAGCAGUGGGGAAUUUUGCACAAUGGGGGAAACCCUGAUGCAGCGACGCCGCGUGAUUGAGAAGGCCUUCGGGUUGUAAAAAUCUUUUGUAUAGGAAGAAAAUGACAGUACUAUACGAAUAAGGUCCGGCUAAGUACGUG
Molecule: ribosomal RNA, 478 nt
Filed under: uncultured bacterium
Lineage: Bacteria
Description: partial 16S ribosomal RNA
Rfam family: Bacterial small subunit ribosomal RNA
Source: RNAcentral